AUGGGUUUUAAUGUCUGCCCGCCGUAGGAUUCCCGGAAUUAAUUUGUGUCUGGCUUUUGAAAUCAGGGAUGUUGUGUUGAAGAAGAUGGAUGCUCCUAAGAAGUAUUGGAAAGAAUGAAGGGCUGACAGGGGUGGUUUAUACAGCAAGACUGGUCAUGGAUGCAGAGUAGUAAAUGUGGUUGGUUGAUUGAGAUCAGAUUUUUAUUUAUUUUUUUUCCAGUGGCGACGCCCAUGUAGUUUAUUUAUUUAUUUUCCCCUUUCACUUCAAGGCAUAUAACAACAACACUGUAUUUUAUAAAUCCCUGUGAUUAUAAAUCUAGUAGGAUGUCAUUCUUGGUUUCCUCAGAGGCCAGGAGUCUAUACCCACAAGAGACAGAUGGGAGAAGUAGCCAGCAAACCUUCUAUAUUAUUGCAGAGAAUUGCAGGAACUGGUUUUGGUUUACACCGCAUGGGGAGCACAGAGUCUGCACAGAGCAUCUCCAUUUACUGCUUCCUCUGUGAGCAGCCAAGGCAGGAUUGCUGACACUCCCUCCACACAGUUCCUGGGCAGGGAAUGGUGCCCUGCAAAAGAGGCAAAUCCACGGAUUUGCAUCAACUCUUUCUGUUUUCCUGCUUUGAGGAUACAGCUUAAAAAACUUUAAAAGCACUUCAUGCAACUGUGCAAAGCUCAUGUGAAAGUCCAGGCUGGUUCAGGUCCUUUCUCCACUUCCACUCUGUGCCUUAUCCCAGUAGAAUUGCUCCAAGAACUGCAUGAAAAAGCAUCCCCUUGCUUUGUCUUGCAGGCAGCAGUGGCAGAUGAGACUUUGAGUUUCACAAGGUGUGGGUAGCAAAAAGAGAUUAUUGCUGUAGGAUGAGUCAGGUUGUGCUGCAAUGUUAGGAAGUGGUUUUUUUUCCACAGUUUAGAAGAUGAUUUUUAAAAGUAGGGGACUUAGUUUACAUUUUUUCAUGAGCUACAAGGUCAGUUGUGGAGUGAGAGCUGAAUUUAGCUUUAGAGUCAUCUCUCAGCUUUGAAGAAAGAAAAAACAACAACAGGCAUGUUUGAUUUUUGGUGCUUUGCUUCAUUUUCUUGCUGUCUUGGCCAUGGAGCUGCCUGUGGUGUUGUGGGGGCAGCCCCACAAGGUCUCUGGUCCUUCCCUCCUCUUCCUAUCAUUCACCUCCUCCCCAGCCCUACCGGAGUCAAAUAUAAACUUUCUUAAAAUGAACACAAGAUUCAUUCCACUUGACCAGGCCUGACUUCCCAGAAAAUAAACAGAGAGAGCAGAGCCAGCCAGCCCCCUCUCCUGGAGGUGCCAGCCUGCAGAGAGCGGUUGGAUAGCUGGACACAACUGGUUCCCUGCCCUGGAAAUGGACCCAAAGGAAUCAGAAACAAAGGACGCUGAUGCUGCUUUUCAUCCUUCUGCCCAAGGAGAAUAAAUGUUUGUGCAAACCCUUUUUCAUGUGGCUGCCCAGAAAUGACCCAAGUGAAGCCAAGAAGUUGAACAUUAAGCAACCUCCCCCUGGUGAUGCUGCUGAAAUGAGAGAAUGCAUCCUCUGACACUGUGUGACAUAGCCCACCUGUAAAUUUUCUUGCCUGAAGAUUUGCCACUCUACAUUAUUCCUGUAGGGAACACACAGAAGAAUGAAACCUCAGGCCAUGCCUCAGAGGGGAAAAGCUGCAGCAAUGACUGACUUAAAGGGUGGUCCGCAUCACACCAAAUGCCACUUUCUUGCCACCAGAUUUCACAGCAGAGAGGGUGUGUCCCUCUCUCAGCCUGGCAACUUCUGAUAACUGUGAUAACUCACUAAUGAUUCAGAAAUCAAGACCUCAAAUCCAAAAAUUCAAGAUUUUCCUCUCCAACCUGGCAACAGCUCCGAGGUUCAUUCACAGACCAUGCAGAGGAGAGAAAAGAGGAUGCUCUGUUUGAAGACUCUCCAAGACUCAAAUUUUGGUGAAAGGUCUUUCUGGGUCAGUGGAGAAGUGUUUCCCAACAGGGAGCAUGAGGAAGACCAGCUUAAACUGAACACUUGUAUUUUAGGAAAUAGGAUGAGGUGAGAGAGAUCCUACAAUCAGGGCUGGUCUGCAGAGUGCUGGAGAUACACAGGCCAAGGUUCAGGACACCUCAUAUUGGGCAAUUUUCUGAGGGUUUAGCACUGAUCUUCCUUUCUAUUGACAUUUGAAAUGGGCACCUUCAGGGAAGUUGUGUGUCCCACAGAAGCUCUGAUUUGAUUUUGAAGGCGCCUUUCCUCCUACUUUGUAGAAAACACUGAAACAGCAACUUAUUGAUUACCUACAUUUGAUUAAGAGUGGAUCAGGUGAGUCCAGGUGGCUUUUCCUACACAGGGACCAGCAUUCCCAUUGGCUCUUAUUUGGGGCAAGGCUCCUAAAUGCUUUUGUCACCCUGGCCUUUACUCUGUUGUAGUUUCACUUCUGACUUCUUGACUGAGAUCUCUCACAAGGGAGAGCAAUUAGUGCCCAUCACAAGGAAAAGCUUUUGCAACAUGGGAGACUGCCCACAAGAAACACAGUUGAGACCACCAACUGUUUUAUUUGUUUUUCUUCCAAUUUCUGCUGAUUGAGAAGCUCAUGAGAUACAUCUCAUUUCCCUGGAGGUCCCCAGGGAAGUAGUGGUCAGACAGUCCCUUUCCAUCCUGCUUUAGGCAAUGCUGGUGCUACAGCUAAAUUCUGCUUAAUUGAGGCCUCAUCAGUGCUACUGGCAGCUUAUUUUAGCCACCAAACUCUUAUUAUUUGCUGGUAAUUCACUACUUUUCAGAGCCUGAGUUGGACAAGCUACAUAGAGGGAAAUGGUUUAGUGUCUUGAGCUACACAUUAUAGAGAAUUAAACUAAAAAUUCCAAUAAUAGUUUGGUGCUAGAGGCUCCAUUUUGGGUGGGAGCCACUGUCCUAUUUGAAAAUAGCCUCUGUUCACUCAGUGGAAGUUCUCAGAUCUGUAUCUAUCUGCAGACCGAAAUUCAAAAGCUUGAGAUGUCUUUGCAUUUCUCUGCACUAGGUUAUCAUAAAUUAUAGAAUCAUAAAAUACCCUGAGUAGGAAGGGACACACAAGGACCAUCAAUGUCCAACUCCUGGCUCUGCACAGGACAGAAAUCCCACCCUGUGCCUGAGUGUGUUGUAUGUUGUGCCCACUGGUUGUGCCCAACCAGUUUAUAUAGGUAACAUCUAAACUGCAUCAUCCUUUUGAUAAUUUGGCCAGUAAUUUCGAUAUCCCUUCAAAUCCCUCUCCUUGCUGCUUCCUCCGGUUUGAGGGAGGCCAGUAAUUUGCUGGUGGCUGUUUAACCUCAGGAGGCCUUUUUGCCUUCCCGUCUCCUACCCCACACAGCCUGCUCUUGCCAGCAUGCUGAGCUGAGGCUCGCCUCAUUUCCUCCCCUGUAAUUCCACUCUUUACUUGGAUGAGAAAGGCACUGAAUAGAUUAAAUUUACCUCUUCCUCUGUGGCUGCACUAUCCAUGCUUCCUGUGUGUGGGAACAGAGCAAGUCACAUUGAGUUCUAGGAGUGAUUCAGGUAGAGACAGAGCCUUCACUUGCACUGGACCUUGCAUACUAAUAUCUCAAAGAAUUAAAAAAUUCUGUGUAAAUACAACAUGCCAACACUUCUAUUUUAUAAAAUUUUCUGGGCUAUAUUUAGGACUUGCCUCUGCUGAUGUUACUUGGAGUAUUUCCACCAACUUUAGUUUGGGCUGGGUUAUCUUAGAAAUAAUUUUUGAUGGUGUAAUUUAUGGUUCUUUGCUGACUUCCUUAAUUCAAGCUAUUUUCAUACAAGAUCUUUGCUUCCUAACACAGGAGGUGCAGCACAGGCCUGAUCCCUGUAACCUCACAAGCCAGAAACUGCUAAAAGAUCAUGUUCAUUACAAGUCAUAAAAUAUUUUUUUUAUUAAAAUAUCUCAAUAAUCCAGAAAAUGUGUUUUCAUGAUGAGGCUAAGGCACAGCAUUUCAUGUAAAGCAUAAAAUUAAAUAUAUGUGUGUGUAGAUUAUAAAACUGUUUGGGAAAAACAGUUCAAAGAUAACCAUCCAAUGAGUUGUCUGGCAAGAUAGCCUAUGUUUAUUCUCAUUCCAGAGAUCCCAUGUCUGAUCAAACCAGAUUUAUAACAAAACAUUCAAAAUAUAGGUUAUUUUUUGGACCAAGAGAAUAAAGUUUUCUCCUGCCAUGAUGCCUACAAAGGGAACUGGCAAUGCCAGGGAACAAGAUGUGCUGAGACUUCUGCUUAUCACAGUUGUUCUCUUUCAGAACUCUUUUAUUUCUUGUUUGUUUGUCUCUGUCUCUCUCUUGUCCUUCAUUUAGAUAUUAAGCUUCUUGGACAGAGCGUGAUUUGGCUUUCAUUGUUCCAACAGUCACAAAUUUAUUGCAGAGGAGCUCUUGAUUUGGGACCAAUUGAUGGUGAUAAUAGAU
Molecule: long non-coding RNA, 4380 nt
Organism: Passer domesticus (house sparrow)
Lineage: Eukaryota; Metazoa; Chordata; Aves; Passeriformes; Passeridae
Exons: 5
Source: RefSeq, a predicted model, not a curated record